AACUAGGAAAAUCGUAUACUGACCGGUUCCGACUUUACUAGUGACUUGUAAUUAUUGUUAUGAUUUUUUUAAUUUUCACAAAAUAUGAUAUUAUUAAUUAUUAAGCAUCAAUUUAUUGUAACAAAGAAUAAGGUGAGAUAUUCGUAUUCGGAUCGGUAUUUCGAAACGCUGUGCUACCCACUACGCCUCCUGGAAUUCUUGAGUUUUCUGAAUUUUUCUUGCGAAAAUCAAAAUACUCGUAACGUACCCAAAAAUACCCUAAAAACCCAAAACAAGUGU
This 279-nucleotide long non-coding RNA is filed under the name Carica papaya (papaya). RNAcentral describes it as "long non-coding RNA (CPAP_LNC008146)". The record is from RNAcentral. Lineage: Eukaryota; Viridiplantae; Streptophyta; Magnoliopsida; Brassicales; Caricaceae.